RNAcentral lists this ribosomal RNA (145 nucleotides) under Psychrobacillus sp. OK028. Its description in RNAcentral is "23S rRNA. Bacterial LSU". It matches the Rfam family "Bacterial large subunit ribosomal RNA", at positions 2781 to 2925 of the family's 2925-position model. Lineage: Bacteria; Bacillati; Bacillota; Bacilli; Caryophanales; Bacillaceae. RNAcentral also lists the same sequence under 1 other name. The record is from RNAcentral.
CUAAGCACGAAGCCCCCCUCAAGAUGAGAUUUCCCAUUACGCAAGUAAGUAAGAUCCCUCAAAGACGAUGAGGUAGAUAGGUUCGGGGUGGAAGCGUGGCGACACGUGCAGCUGACGAAUACUAAUCGAUCGAGGACUUAACCAA